This 460-nucleotide ribosomal RNA is filed under the name uncultured bacterium. RNAcentral's name for it is "partial 16S ribosomal RNA". It matches the Rfam family "Bacterial small subunit ribosomal RNA", at positions 338 to 795 of the family's 1533-position model. The record is from RNAcentral.
CCUACGGGUGGCAGCAGUGAGGAAUAUUGGUCAAUGGACGAGAGUCUGAACCAGCCAAGUAGCGUGAAGGAUGACUGCCCUAUGGGUUGUAAACUUCUUUUAUAUGGGAAUAAAAUGUUCCACGUGUGGGAUUUUGUAUGUACCAUAUGAAUAAGGAUCGGCUAACUCCGUGCCAGCAGCCGCGGUACUACGGAGGAUCCGAGCGUUAUCCGGAUUUAUUGGGUUUAAAGGGAGCGUAGGUGGAUUGUUAAGUCAGUUGUGAAAGUUUGCGGCUCAACCGUAAAAUUGCAGUUGAAACUGGCAGUCGUGAGUACAGUAGAGGUGGGCGGAAUUCGUGGUGUAGCGGUGAAAUGCUUAGAUAUCACGAAGAACUCCGAUUGCGAAGGCAGCUCACUGGACUGCAACUGACACUGAGGCUCGAAAGUGUGGGUAUCAAACAGGAGUAGAUACCCCUGUAGUC